Molecule: transfer RNA, 72 nt
Filed under: Diaphorina citri (Asian citrus psyllid)
Lineage: Eukaryota; Metazoa; Arthropoda; Insecta; Hemiptera; Psyllidae
Rfam family: tRNA
About the family: Transfer RNA (tRNA) molecules are approximately 80 nucleotides in length. Their secondary structure includes four short double-helical elements and three loops (D, anti-codon, and T loops).
Source: Rfam by way of RNAcentral
GAUACCAUGGCGUAGUGGUCACUGCGCUCGCCUUGCACGCGGGAGACCCGGGUUCAAUUCUCAGCGGGGUCA